RNAcentral lists this unclassified non-coding RNA (324 nucleotides) under Hevea brasiliensis (rubber tree). Lineage: Eukaryota; Viridiplantae; Streptophyta; Magnoliopsida; Malpighiales; Euphorbiaceae. The record is from RNAcentral.
AUGAUGCUAAAGCUCAUGGUGAAUAUGUUAAAGAAAAUAAUAUGAUUUAUGUGCAUAAGUCGAAAAAUACUUUUUAUAUGCAUAAAUCCUAAUUCAUAUUGAUUGUGUCUAUCACUAACUAGAUGGGGAUAUUGUUAAAAUAUUAGUGAUAGAAAAAUUUGUCUCAUUUCAAAAGAGUUAUGUCUGUUUAUUAAAAGAUAUCAAAAUGAACUAUUUAUUACCGAUAAUUAUAUCUGUUUUAAAAGGUGUAAAUGAACAAAUAUAAUUAUUCUAAGAGAUACAAAGUGAACAGUUGUAUCUGUUGUAAAAGGUAUAAGUGAACAG